CACUGCUUUUUUCGUCAAAAUACAACAUUCGGUAAAGUAAAAAAGAAUGAUACAUACACCAAAAUGGACGGAGCGCAACAAAAUAAAAAAUACGCCAGAACCACAAAAGCGCAGUUGAAAUGGUAUGUUGAAUUCAUACAAAGUAAUCGACAGAUACUAAGGCCGAAUAAAACUGCCGCAAAACUUAAAGAGGUAAACAUUAUAUUAUAUUUUGUUUAUAUUAUCAAACAAUAAUUUUUCCCAUUGUAGUCUUUAAGCAACUGGAAGAAGUAGCUCCGCGCUCGGGCUCGAAAGCUACAAGCAGAACGCUUGCGCACUGGCGGAGGUUCGCUUUCAGGCGAGGAGUUAUCGGAGUUCGAGGAACAAGCUCUUUCUGCAUUUGGCAUGGGCGCAGUCAAUGGAUUGGAGUGUGUAACCUUGGGUCUUCCUGUCAGUAAAUAAUUUGCCUAUUUGUUAAAUAUACACAAAACUUUAUGUUUCUGCUUACUUAGGGCACAUUCAGAAAACUGCGACUCCAUCACCACUAUGCGAAGAGGAAGAAUACGUGAUUGAGGAAACGCUGAUCGAAUCGCCAACCGAGUUAUCGUAGACCCAAAUAUAUCUAACAUUGCCGCAGCCUCUGCUGCAUGGCCUUCGAUUGCUCCUACCACUUCUCGGCAACAAAAAUUGACAAAGGAUGCAAUUUAUAAGAAGAUGGCUGAAGAUUUGCAGUCUCAAAGGCAGAGAGAUGAGCAGCUAUCUUCUGCACUGAUGCAAAUGGGGAAAGGAUUGGGCAAUGCAAUCUCAAAAUUAGCCGAUAAGCUGUAGUAAGUUUUUUUUAUUAGCUACAUAAGGAAUUUUUUUUAUCAAAUGUAUUGCUUUAAGUUUUUUAAAUGUUUGUCUAGAAGACAUUUUAGUUAGUAGUAUUAAGAUUUAUGUAAAUAUGUAAAUAGCCAUGCCUGAAUAUAAAAACAAUGAAGACUGAACUUGUGAUACAAUAAAAAUAUUGUUUUUUAAACUUCUUCUAUUCAUUUCUUCACAAAUUAAUUAAAAAUUGUGAAAACUAAAUCAUACGCAUCAAAUGUGCACGAAUCCGUUCGGCUUCUCGAAAGAGUUCGUUCAGGAUAGUUGUUGCUCGCACAGUUUGAAUAUUUUCAUCAAUUUCAUUCUCCUCCAGUUCCAUUUGCUCUAUGUUAGUAUAGCAUGCGGUUUUAUUGAUAAUAUUAUGGAGUAUUGCACAUGAAUUGACGAUAGAUACUACUGUUUUGUGACUAUAGUUUAAAAUGCGGUGCUUUGAGAGACAUCGAAAUCUUGAUUUCAAUACACCUUAAGUACGUUCAAUUACUUUGCGUGCUGCACAGUGUACUCUAUUGUAAUUUUCCUCAAGCGCGUUUGUUGGUUCUGAAACUGGGGUUAGUAGCCAGGGUUCCAGAGGAUAGCCUUGGUCACCUAUGAGCCAACACCCACGUUGAUCCAUUAAGAAGCUUCUAAUCAUGGAUGUCGUCUAUAUCCCCGAGUCAUGACAAGAGCCAGGAAAAUUGGCGUUUAUUGACAAAAAAAUUCAUGCUUGCGUUACACACUGCCUUUACAUUGGCGCUGUAAUUACCCUUCCGGUUCAUAUACAGGCUUGCUGGAUAUGUAGGGUUGUUGCUUGUAACUGCAAUAAUGCCAAUGUGUGUGCAGUCAAUUGCA
Molecule: long non-coding RNA, 1671 nt
Organism: Ceratitis capitata (Mediterranean fruit fly)
Lineage: Eukaryota; Metazoa; Arthropoda; Insecta; Diptera; Tephritidae
Exons: 2
Source: RefSeq, a predicted model, not a curated record